Molecule: transfer RNA, 124 nt
Filed under: Colletotrichum chlorophyti
Lineage: Eukaryota; Fungi; Ascomycota; Sordariomycetes; Glomerellales; Glomerellaceae
Rfam family: tRNA
About the family: Transfer RNA (tRNA) molecules are approximately 80 nucleotides in length. Their secondary structure includes four short double-helical elements and three loops (D, anti-codon, and T loops). Further hydrogen bonds mediate the characteristic L-shaped molecular structure. tRNAs have two regions of fundamental functional importance: the anti-codon, which is responsible for specific mRNA codon recognition, and the 3' end, to which the tRNAs corresponding amino acid is attached (by aminoacyl-tRNA synthetases). tRNAs cope with the degeneracy of the genetic code in two manners: having more than one tRNA (with a specific anti-codon) for a particular amino acid; and 'wobble' base-pairing, i.e. permitting non-standard base-pairing at the 3rd anti-codon position.
Source: Rfam by way of RNAcentral
GGCCGGUUGGCCCAAUGGCAAGGCGUCUGACUACGAUACAAGAUCAUUUCAUGUCUAAUAGACUUAACUGGUUGAUACAUCAUCAGUUAUCAGGAGAUUCUGGGUUCGACCCCCAGGCUGGUCA